CCUACGGGUGGCAGCAGUCGAGAAUCAUUCACAAUGGGGGAACCCCUGAUGGUGCGACGCCGCGUGGGGGAAUGAAGGUCUUCGGAUUGUAAACCCCUGUCAUGUGGGAGCAAAUUAAAAAGAUAGUACCACAAGAGGAAGAGACGGCUAACUCUGUGCCAGCAGCCGCGGUAAUACAGAGGUCUCAAGCGUUGUUCGGAAUCACUGGGCGUAAAGCGUGCGUAGGCUGUUUCGUAAGUCGUGUGUGAAAGUCGCGGGGUCAACCCGCGGACGGCACAUGAUACUGCGAGACUAGAGUAAUGGAGGGGGAACCGGAAUGCUCGGUGUAGCAGUGAAAUGGGUAGAUAGCGAGAGGAACACUCGUGGCGAAGGCGGGUUCCUGGACAUUAACGGACGCUGAGGCACGAAGGCCAGGGGAGCGAAAGGGAUUAGAUACCCGAGUAGUC
Molecule: ribosomal RNA, 446 nt
Filed under: uncultured bacterium
Lineage: Bacteria
Description: partial 16S ribosomal RNA
Rfam family: Bacterial small subunit ribosomal RNA
Source: RNAcentral